Long non-coding RNA from Malus domestica (apple), 869 nucleotides. RefSeq lists it as uncharacterized. NCBI's taxonomy places the organism in Eukaryota, Viridiplantae, Streptophyta, Magnoliopsida, Rosales, Rosaceae. The record is from RefSeq and is a predicted model, not a curated record.
GACGGGGUUUUGCCAUAACACAUGUUUGGAGAUGAACUGCCUACUAAACCUUCUACGUGGACCGCUUUCUCUCUCUGAAUCCUCUCCCGCCUACUGCCUCUCUCUCUCUCUCUCAACGUUACAACCACCAGAAUCCUCCUGUUCCUCUCAACCUCUCAUCUGAACUCAUCCUGCUCUUCUUCCAUUGAAGGUUUCUAUUGAAGCUCGAACUCUUGGAGUCGUCAUCCACUCCCUGAUAGCCCAUCGUUCGCUGCUCUCACUUCCUGUCGCCGCCGUUGGUGUUGGUCCGCCCGAUCACUGAGGAUCAACCUGCUACAAAUGAGGAUAUAAUUCAAUGAGACCAGACCACACUUAAAAUUUCAGUAUACGGUCAGUCUAUUGCAGGUCCAAGUUUUCGGUUCUCAGUUUCCGGUUCAACUCUAUGGCCUACCAACUGUUUGGUACUGGUUCUUGGUUUGGGACCUAACCAAGCCAAACUGGAAUGAACUUUAAAUCAGUAGACAGGCCCUUUCAGCCCCGAAGCAUCCCACAUCUUUUUGAAUUCUGAAUUCAUUCCUCAAUGGCUGUAACUAGUUUCAAACAUGCGAACCCAUUGACUAAUUUUGAGAAAUGUAGGUCCGAGAACCCGCACAACCUGAUCAAAACCAACAAACACUCACUCUUUCACUCUCAUAGACCUCAUUGUUUAGCAUAUUGUCCAUCAAAUGACCUGGAACUUGGUCUUAAAAGUAUGCAAUCACAAGAACCCUGUAGUAGUACAAGCCAAGAACUGUUUUCAUCAGCUUCUUUAUCAGAUUCUCUUUUGGUGGAAAAGAUUUUAUUAGGUCUGAAGCAAGGUAACCUCACCUCUUUGCGCAGCUUUCUGUUUC